GCGCGUCGGCGGCCGCGGAGCAGCGCGGUGAGCCAGGCGGGCUGCCUGCGGGUGUGAAGAAAAAAAAUGACACUCCAAUGGGCGGCAGUGGCAACCUUUCUUUAUGCCGAAAUAGGACUCAUUUUAAUCUUCUGCUUACCUUUUAUUCCUCCUCAGAGAUGGCAGAAGAUUUUUUCAUUUAAUGUCUGGGGUAAAAUUGCAACUUUUUGGAACAAGGCUUUCCUUACCAUUAUCAUCCUGUUGAUUGUUCUGUUUCUAGAUGCCGUGAGAGAAGUAAGGAAAUAUUCCUCAGUUCAUACCAUUGAGAAGAGCUCCACCAGCAGACCUGAUGCCUAUGAACACACACAGAUGAAACUUUUUAGGUCUCAAAGAAAUCUUUACAUUUCUGGAUUUUCACUAUUUUUUUGGCUGUAAGUAAAAAAUAAUAAUAGAAGCACAAUUUAAAAACAUGAUUUAUGCUUCUCUUUCUCAUUUUGUCCACCUUUACUGUAGAUUUUUUUUUUUAAGAGA
This 510-nucleotide small RNA is filed under the name Pongo abelii (Sumatran orangutan). Its description in RNAcentral is "retained intron". The record is from RNAcentral. Lineage: Eukaryota; Metazoa; Chordata; Mammalia; Primates; Hominidae.